ACCUAAUGCUAUCUCAUUUCCUGUGUGAAUUUAGGUUUAGACUCAACUUUUUUCUAUUAUGUUCAACAUUUCUUCAUGUGAGGAAUCAAACAUUACUGAGGUGACUGAAUAUGAACUUCUUUCAGGGCUUAGUGAUUGUGGUAUUCUUCAUACUAGGAAAGACACACGGAGAUACAGUGACUCAGACGGAAGGUAAAGUGACCCUCUCAGAAGAAGACUUCCUGACUAUAAACUGCACUUACUCAGCCUCGGGGUACCCUGCUCUGUUCUGGUACGUCCAGUAUCCUGGAGAAGGUCCACAGCUCCUCUUCAGAGCCUCAAAGGCCAAUGAGAAGGGAACCAAGAAAGGGUUUGAAGCCACAUAUGUCAAAGACGCCUCCUCCUUCCACCUGCACAAAGCCUCAGUCCAAGAGUCAGACUCGGCUGUGUACUACUGUGCUCUGAGUGACACAGUGGCAGAAACCUCAGGAAGACCUGAGCACAAACUCAGCAGCAGGCGCCCAUCUGCUGAGCACCUGCCUCUGAGAUGGGCCUGA
Non-coding RNA from Nannospalax galili (Upper Galilee mountains blind mole rat), 536 nucleotides. The record is from the annotation of a RefSeq genome assembly. Lineage: Eukaryota; Metazoa; Chordata; Mammalia; Rodentia; Spalacidae.